CAUAAGACUCUCGGCAACGGAUAUCUUGGCUCUUGCAUCGAUGAAGAACGUAGCAAAAUGCGAUACCUGGUGUGAAUUGCAGAAUCCCGUGAACCAUCGAGUUUUUGAACGCAAGUUGCGCCCGAGGCCUCUUGGUUGAGGGCACGUCUGACUGGGWGUCACAC
Molecule: ribosomal RNA, 164 nt
Filed under: Sporobolus virginicus
Lineage: Eukaryota; Viridiplantae; Streptophyta; Magnoliopsida; Poales; Poaceae
Description: 5.8S ribosomal RNA
Rfam family: 5.8S ribosomal RNA
About the family: 5.8S ribosomal RNA (5.8S rRNA) is a component of the large subunit of the eukaryotic ribosome. It is transcribed by RNA polymerase I as part of the 45S precursor that also contains 18S and 28S rRNA.
Source: RNAcentral